AUUAAUCGGUGUACAGUCAGUUUAAAGCAACAACACCAUAUUCUGAGAAAGAACUUGCUUAUCCACUGCAAACAAUCCCUAAAUGACUGCACUUGGCUUCUGCUCUUCAAUAAUCCUGGACUUGAUGCCCUUCAGUCCACGUUAACAAGGUUGAUUCGGGAGGGACAAAAUGGCGCCGUAGGGAGAACACUGUGUUUCAGCAAACUACUGUGGCGUUCUUUAAUUUCUCUUUUUAUAUAAAUUUUCUAGCUUGAAAAAGUGGUAGAAUUUGCUAAAUAAGCUAUCCUACAAUGAGUAUUUCUCUAGAAUUUCCGACAGCAUGCCCAGCAGAACUACUAAGAACUCGACCAAAACCACCACCUCUGUAGAUGUGCAGGAGGAGCUAGCUAACGUUAGCGAAGCUAACACCAUUGCGGAUCCAGGCACAAUGGACCUGGUGAUUCAAAGGAUGACGGAUAACAUUACUAAAGUGAUCGAUGUUAAGAUAGUAAUGGUCUUAGAAGCAAUAGCAGGCCAUUCAGAAGAACUACAGAGGGUUGUCAAGCGUGUGGAUAAAGCAGAAAGAAGAAUUGCUACUGUGGAAACUUCAACUACAUCAAUGGACACUAAGAUAAAGGCACUUGAGAAACAGGUGCAUGAAAUGGCGGAGCACAUUGACGACAUGGAUAAUCGAGGACGCAGAUGCAAUAUCCGUGUUGUGGGACUCCCAGAAAAUUCUGAAGGGACACGUUCAGUAAACAUUUUUGAGGAAUGGAUCCCUGGCUACCUACAAAUGGACACUAAAGCUGGUCAUGUGAAGCUGGAUAGAACCCAUCGCUCUCAAGCACUGAUACCCGGUCCCAACCAGCGCCCACGACCAGUGGUUAUAAAGUUCCACAACUUCACUGAUAAGCAGCGCGUCAUGGAUGCGGCCAGACGCAUCGGUUCUUUACGGUAGUCAACGUCAAGGUCCAUGGGUCUCAUUCUUCAAUGAUUAUUCCACAGCAGUUGUACGAAGACGCAAGGCGUUCGAUGAGGUGAACCUCAUCGAACGCCUUAUUCUCUUUAUUCAAGAGAAUAAAGAUGGACUACUACGCGCUGCUGUACCCCUCCAUAUUGAAGAUUAUGGUCAACGGAUCGCCUAAAAAAACUCUACACACCUGAAGAGGCUGCUGCGUUUAUUGACUCUCUCGGAGGGGAACGCAUACUCUUUAACCCUGGAGAAGGUUCUCAUUUUCACUUCGGGGGCUUCGGCCAUUCCUAGGCUGGGAUUCCCAGCGGAGCCACAGCUACAGUUCUAACACAAACAAGAGAAGGAGGCUGCCAGGUUCUUCCCGGGAGAAAAUCUACCCAACUUACGCAGCCUUCAGGGAGAAAAUGGAGAGUGGAAUUCUACAGUCACCAACAUUUGGUGUCAUUGUCAAAGACAGCCACCCUAGUCAUGGACUGUUUUCUCUGCUACCGCACGGCAAGUGGUACCGGAGCGCCAAGUCUGCGUCCAAGAGGCUUCUAAACAGCUUCUACCCCCAAGCCAUAAGACUACUGAACAUUUCAUCAAAUGGCUACCCAGACUAUUUGCAUUGCAACCACCCUCCUCUUUCACGCUGC
RNAcentral lists this long non-coding RNA (1587 nucleotides) under Salmo salar (Atlantic salmon). Its description in RNAcentral is "lncRNA (ENSSSAG00000084137.1)". The record is from RNAcentral. Lineage: Eukaryota; Metazoa; Chordata; Actinopteri; Salmoniformes; Salmonidae.